Molecule: long non-coding RNA, 4589 nt
Organism: Esox lucius (northern pike)
Lineage: Eukaryota; Metazoa; Chordata; Actinopteri; Esociformes; Esocidae
Source: Ensembl
CUUCCCUGAGCUCCUCCCUUCCCCGUCAACACACCUCUCUGUGCUCUCCUCCCAUCUCACUUCCUCCUCUCUUCCCUGAGCUCCCUCCCUUCCCCGUCUACACACCUCUCUGUGCUCUCCUCCCAUCUCACUUCCUCCUCUCUUCCCUGAGCUCCUCCCUUUCCCGUCAACACACCUCUCUGUGCUCUCCUCCCAUCUCACUUCCUCCUAUCUUCCCUGGAUCCGUUCCUUCCAUUCACCAAUCACCUCCCACAAAUAGGUCAGGAGCUGGUGGGGUUGUUAAAGUGGAACUGCAUUGAUUUAUGCAGUAUGGGAUUUUACGAAGCAUGUUCCAACAGCUCAAAAUCCAAAACGGCCAGUGGUAACUAAAAAUGACGUGCACAUUCCAGUUGACCGAUAGGGCACAGCCAUCUUGAGCGUCACGACCAUGGUCAAUGGCAAUCAGUGUCGGGACAAUGGCUUGUAGCUACGAAGCGCCAAAGUCCAUCUGUUGCCCUGGAUUCUGGAUUUCCAGUGCACACUUCAUUGACGAGAAUUAGAAGAGAAAGUUCAAUGCCUCUGGGAUGCAAACAAUGUUUUCAGAUUGGCUGCAACUUCGGAAUAAACGCGUGGUCUUGUAGCCAGCAAAUGGGCAUUGUGGAUUGCGUCAGGAUCUGUAUAAUUCAAUCGCAGCAGCCAGAGAUAUACUUUAGUGCUUUUAAACAACUGGUUAGUUAACUAUUUUGUCACCUCUGGGGCUAACUAAUCUCUAUGGGCAAAACUAUAUUUCCUGGUUUAAACGGAAACAGCGAUUGGACCACCGCAACGAAUGGGUUGAAAUGCAUAUGCCUUGGGAUGAACAGGGACCAUUUCAAUGAGUCAGUCUUCUCCCAUUUCAAAAAGUACCACCGUAGAUGUGCGGCGUUGAGACGAGACGCAGUCGUGGAGGUCAUUUCAAAAAUGAUGAUGCAACUCGCGUUUCAUGUACAUAUUAGGCAUUACAGAACAUACAAUAUGAAUUUUUAUGGUAUUUUCUAUUAUUAAAUAUACAUAUCACAACUUGUUAUGUCUUAGUUGGUAGAGAAUAGUGCUUGCAAUGCCAGCGUUGUGGUUUCAAUUCCCACAGGGGACAGAAUGAGAAUGAACAAGUACGAAAACAUAAUGCAGUCACUACUGUAAGUCACUGAGGAUAAGAGCAUCUGUUAAAUGACUAAAAUGGAAAUUUGAAGUGAGAGUGAGAUGGAAGGCUCAGAGCAGGCAGAGCUCUCUCUCAUCGACUCAGGAUCUGAGGGACGCCGGGUCUGUGAGACGCCAAUUUAACAGGCUGAGCAGUAAAUACAUACACGCAACACACCUGUCAGGUCUCCGUGGAAGCCUGCCUCUGUUCCUCCGCUCUGCUCAUCUGACUGUUGUAGGACACGGAGACCAAAGGGAGGCAGGAGCAUUGGCUAGAAUCCCUGUUCUCACCGCCAGGACUCCUGUUGGGGUCAGGGACUGACACAGAAAAACACAAGCACAAUGUACACACACAUGCUCUCACAUACAAUAUUAUAGCAUGCACGAACGCGCGCACACCCAUACACACACCCAUACACACACGCAUACACACACCCAUACACACACCCAUACACACACGCAUACACACACGCAUUCACACACCCAUACACACACCCAUACACACAAAGCACUGAUGGGGACACAAACACACAUAGUUAAAGACAAACGGAGGCUAUUUUAGUGCUCUCUGCGUAUGUGUAGGAACAAAAGAACAGGUUGGUACGUCAGAAAGACACCCAAAGAUAUAAACAAGAAAAAAGACAGUCCUUCAAUAAGUAGGAGACAAAGAGGAAGAGAACAGGACAGAAAGUGAGUGAGGGGGGAUUUGGAGAGGGAGAGAGAGACCAAGGUUGCUGGAUGAGGGAGAGAGAGAGACCACGGUUUGCUGGAUGAGGGAGAAAGAGAGAGACCAAGGUUGCUGGAUGAGGGAGAGAGAGACCAAGGUUGCUGGAUGAGGGAGAGAGAGAGACCACGGUUUGCUGGAUGAGGGAGAAAGAGAGAGACCAAGGUUGCUGGAUAAGGGAGAGAGAGACCAAGGUUUGCUGGAUGAGGGAGAGAGAGAGAGACCAAGGUUGCUGGAUGAGGGAAAGAGAGAGAGACCAAGGUUUGCUGGAUGAGGGAGAGAGAGAGAGACCAAGGUUUGCUGGAUGAGGGAGAGAGAGAGACCAAGGUUUGCUGGAUGAGGGAGAGAGAGAGAGACCAAGGUUUGCUGGAUGAGGGAGAGAGAGAGACCAAGGUUGCUGGAUGAGGGAUAGAGAGAGACCAAGGUUGCUGGAUGAGGGAUAGAGAGAGACCAAGGUUUGCUGGAUGAGGGAGAGAGAGAGAGAGACCAAGGUUGCUGGAUGAGCGACAGAGAGAGAGAUGCAGCAGAUGAUAGGAAAGAUAAAACAGACACCAGCACAAUUAGGCGUUCCUGCUGUGUCUCUCACUGAAGCUGGUUCACUGGCCAGCUGUAAGCUCCAGCCUCCCCUACUGCACACUGCAGAUAGCUUCAUGACGGCUCUGUGCACAACUGCGCAUACACACACACACACACAACAGCCCCAGCACACACAUUGCAGCGUUCAAGUUAGCUCAGAGCAGACACUGCAGCUUUCAUGUUUACACAGUUCAGUCCUGCAAACAUGCGCACACACACACACACAUACACACACACACACACACACAUAUAUUCUUUCUGCAGUACUGAUAGCGCUGGGGCGUUCUCCUUCAGCAAGCAUGAGUACACACAGUACAGAGGUAGAAAGACAGGAGCGAGAGAGGGAGAGAAAGAGGUAGAGAAAAAGAGGGGGAGGUAGAGUGGGAGGCAAAUGAAGAGAAGAGACACAGACACACUGCACCUGCAGAAAACACAAGUAUACACCCACACAGUUGAAGAGCAUGCUGAACAUUAUCUUUGUGUCCUUGCUUUGCAGUGAACAGCUCUAAUGGGUGGUUUGUAUGUGUCCUCCAGGCUUUGUAAAUAGAACCACCACCCAGGUCCAGUGAGAAUCACCUAUGCAGCGUGACAGCCAGGACAUCCCGCCUCCAACCACAGCUGACCAUGAGGAUGAGUCAUGAGAGGACAUCAUGACAGACAAACGCAUCAGCCAAUCGGGACGUAGGGGCUCCUCUUAGGCACCGAUGAUUGCAGCAAUACAGGCACAGGACAGCAGGUCCAUUAGAGAAACCCACAUAGCCCCGGCAACAGCCCAUGAUAACCAGACAGACAGACAGACUGACUGACUGCAGUGUGUUCACAGGCUUUCCACAGCUCUGUCUGUUUCUGACGUCUAGAUACAUGACAGCCAUGGUUACUUAGAGACCAGCCCUCCACGGAGAGAGGGGGACGCAGUGUACUGCUCAGCAUCUGGAAUGGUCCCUAUCAUUCUUGGACAACUGGUGAACUGUGAUUGGUCAGACCAGGUCCUCUGUGGCUACGCUGUCUGAGUUCCAAGUGUGUGUGUAUGUCGGGGGUGUGUGUGUGUGUGUGGGUGUGUGUGUGUGAGAAGAGAGCGUAUCAAGAUGUCAUGCGUCAUAAGAUGCCGCCCCUCCACUGGAUGUAUUUUAAUGUGCGCUUAAGUGUUAUACAAUUGUACAUGGCGUGCUUCAACAGGUUCUAAAUAUGAUUAUGAUAUUGAGAGAAAAAAAAUAACAGUAUUUUAAUAUAACGCUCUUCUUCCGAGAUGUAUUUGGAUGUGCAUAUUAUGGCUAUACGACCCCACUGAGUCAAUGUGGAUAUCUGUCCUGCUUUGUGUUCAAUAAAAAAAAAAGAUAGGAUAAAAAAAUAAUAAUAAUCCACAUCAAUAGCCACACCAUCGUAGUACUUAGAACACAGGCCUAAUAUGCUGCUUCAUUCUGAGUGGGUUGUGAGCUGGUGUGGAUAUUGGGUCAAAGUUCACGCAGUCAAAGUUCAGCCAAUGUGCACACAUAACAUGAUGCACAGUAGAUGCCACAUCACCAUGAAGGUGAAGGAAAGGUCAGGCCCUAGGGCCCGGGCUAAUGUCCUCUCUCACGGUACAUCUCAUCACAGACCCCCAUUGAUAUCGCCGCUGUUCUCCAUCACCGAAUGCAAGGCUGCUUUUACCAUAGAAGUAACUGGGACACGACUCGGAACGGAUUCUUAGCACUGUCUCUAUCCUCCCAGUGUGUUCGUAACGUAGCCUCCAUCUAACUACAGCAUCCGGUCAGCUGACACACUCAGCGAGCAUCCAGACAGGAGCAAGUCACCCCACCGCCAAACCUCUCGUUGUUCUAUUGCUCUCAUUAUUUAAUGGUGUACAUAGUAUUUGACGCUGUUUAAAUGGAAGACGUGAUGUACUAAUAUAAUUGUGUAUAGUAUUUCCUAGAGAUGUUUAUUUUCUAUGAAAUGUUAUUGCUUAUAAAAUGUUAUUAAAAGAAUCCAUAAAAAAUUAAAAGACUUUUGGGAAUGUCACUGGUUCUAAGUUGAGCAUGCAGUUUCUUUUUCAUGUUUCUCUUGUUUUAAAUCGAUGACACUACAUCACUUUGUUUGAAAUGUUUUUGUAACGCCGAUGUCAAAUAUACCAGCACCUUUCAAUGCUGCUCAGACCAAG